ACCAGCCAUGCCGCGUGCAGGAUGACGGUCCUAUGGAUUGWAARCUGCUUUUGUACAGGAGGAAAUGUUACUACGUGUAGUARUUUGACGGGACUGUAMGAAUAARGACCGGCUNAASUCCGCUGCCAGCAGCCGCGGUAAU
Molecule: ribosomal RNA, 142 nt
Filed under: uncultured bacterium
Lineage: Bacteria
Description: partial 16S ribosomal RNA
Rfam family: Bacterial small subunit ribosomal RNA
Source: RNAcentral